UAGAAUUCCACGUGUAGCAGUGAAAUGCGUAGAGAUGUGGAGGAAUACCGAUGGCGAAGGCAGCCUCCUGGGAUAACACUGACGUUCAUGCUCGAAAGCGUGGGUAGCAAACAGGAUUAGAUACCCUGGUAGUCCACGCCCUAAACGAUGACAAUUAGCUGUUGGGACACUAGGUGUUUUAGUAGCGAAGCUAACGCGUGAAAUUGUCCGCCUAGGGAGUACGGUCGCAAGAUUAAAACUCAAAGGAAUUGACGGGGACCCGCACAAGCGGUGGAUGAUGUGGAUUAAUUCGAUGCAACGCGAAGAACCUUACCUGGUCUUGACAUGUACGGAAUCUCUUAGAGAUAGGAGAGUGCCUUCGGGAGCCGUAACACAGGUGCUGCAUGGCUGUCGUCAGCUCGUGUCGUGAGAUGUUGGGUUAAGUCCCGCAACGAGCGCAACCCUUGUCAUUAGUUGCCAUCAUUAAGUUGGGCACUCUAAUGAGACUGCCGGUGACAAACCGGAGGAAGGUGGGGAUGACGUCAAGUCCUCAUGGCCCUUAUGACCAGGGCUUCACACGUCAUACAAUGGUCGGUACAGAGGGUAGCGAAGCCGCGAGGUGAAGCCAAUCUCAGAAAGCCGAUCGUAGUCCGGAUUGCACUCUGCAACUCGAGUGCAUGAAGUCGGAAUCGCUAGUAAUCGUGGAUCAGCAUGC
This 694-nucleotide ribosomal RNA is filed under the name uncultured Snodgrassella sp. Its description in RNAcentral is "bacterial SSU rRNA". It matches the Rfam family "Bacterial small subunit ribosomal RNA", at positions 662 to 1357 of the family's 1533-position model. Lineage: Bacteria; Pseudomonadati; Pseudomonadota; Betaproteobacteria; Neisseriales; Neisseriaceae. The record is from RNAcentral.